GUGAGGAAUAUUGCGCAAUGGGCGAAAGCCUGACGCAGCGACGCCGCGUGGAGGAUGAAGGUCUUCGGAUUGUAAACUUCUGUUAAGUGGGAAGAAAGGGCUGCUUUUAAUAGAAGCAGUUAAUGACGGUACCAUUAAAGAAAGCACCGGCUAAACUCGUGCCAGCAGCCGCGGUAAUACGAGUGGUGCAAGCGUUAUUCGGAAUAAUUGGGCGUACAGGGUGUGUAGGCGGUAUGUUAAGUCUGUUGUUAAAGACUCCGGCCUAACCGGAGACAGGCAGCGGAAACUGGCGUACUAGAGGGUGGAAGAGAGAAGUGGAAUUCUCGGUGUAGCGGUAAAAUGCGUAGAUAUCGAGAGGAACACCGAUGGCGAAGGCAGCUUCUUGGUCCAUACCUGACGCUGAAACACGAAAGCGUGGGGAGCAAACAGGAUUAGAUACCCCAGUAGUCC
RNAcentral lists this ribosomal RNA (450 nucleotides) under uncultured bacterium. RNAcentral describes it as "partial 16S ribosomal RNA". It matches the Rfam family "Bacterial small subunit ribosomal RNA", at positions 354 to 796 of the family's 1533-position model. The record is from RNAcentral.